GCUUCACUAGCUCAGUUGGCAGAGCGUCAGUCUCAUAGCAUCUGAAGGUCGACAGUUCGAACCUGCCGUGGAGCA
Molecule: transfer RNA, 75 nt
Filed under: Debaryomyces hansenii CBS767
Lineage: Eukaryota; Fungi; Ascomycota; Pichiomycetes; Serinales; Debaryomycetaceae
Description: tRNA Met (CAT) cove
Rfam family: tRNA
About the family: Transfer RNA (tRNA) molecules are approximately 80 nucleotides in length. Their secondary structure includes four short double-helical elements and three loops (D, anti-codon, and T loops). Further hydrogen bonds mediate the characteristic L-shaped molecular structure. tRNAs have two regions of fundamental functional importance: the anti-codon, which is responsible for specific mRNA codon recognition, and the 3' end, to which the tRNAs corresponding amino acid is attached (by aminoacyl-tRNA synthetases). tRNAs cope with the degeneracy of the genetic code in two manners: having more than one tRNA (with a specific anti-codon) for a particular amino acid; and 'wobble' base-pairing, i.e. permitting non-standard base-pairing at the 3rd anti-codon position.
Source: RNAcentral